AUUAAAUGGUGCAUAUCAAUCAAAAUAGAGGAACUUGCGUUCCUAAUCAGGUUGCGUACAUCUCCUGAGGCAGAGGCCGGGAAAGAUAUAUCUUUAUUAUCUAAAAGUAAAAUUACCUCCACUAUGCAAACCAUGGAAUGAACAUCUCUUCGAAACCUCGCCGGCUGUAUCGCCUUGGUACAAAAUCGGAUCUGCUCAUUCCUGGUAGCCAUGUCCACGCCAAACAGAACUCCUGGACCGAGGACGGGCACAAUGAUCUUAGCUGUAUCCCCGAAAUCGAUCUCGGAUGGUGAUCCCUUGAAGAAAUGAGGAGUGACCUCUGGCCCAAAGAAAAAUGUCACCUUCAAAAAUUGGUCACAUGUACGUGAGUUUGUAACUCAGAGAAUACUCUUAAAUUUAAGAUUUGUUCCAUCUGCAAAAUAAUGUUAAUUAAGGUCACCUUCUUUAGCCCGAAAAGGUUCACUGUGAACACACUUCCCAUCUUCAUGUGUAGUUCAUGGAUUGCAGCAUGUAAACCCUUCUUGGGCGUCACAAGUGUGAGCAGGGCUGCCAUUAGAGGAGCUCCACUCACAACUUGUGGCGGGCGCAGAGUAAUUGGUGAUCUUUUUCCUUUGCGUGUAAGACGAAUGGUUCUGAUUCUUGCAAUGAUCUUGGAGAUGAUUGUGGUGAGAAACAAAAAUGCUAUGGUAAAGCAUGCUGCCGUGUGUAUUGUGAUCCCAUCCAUGUCCAUAUGCAUAUGCAGCGCUCAACUUUAUGAAAACCUGGCUAAUGAAAAUGAGUAAAUUGAUUGAGCUGAGGAUGAAGGAAAACAUAUGUAGAAUGGAAGUUUUUUAGAAGUUACGUACUGAUGAGAGAGAGAGAGAGAGAGAGAGAGAGAUUACAUACGUACUAAUUGUUUGUGCUUGAACCAGGCGUAGCUAUAAUCCUACAACAACUAACCAGAUACAGACCUGCACUGAAGCUGAAAAGAAUUGGAAAUAGGAUGAACCGUUUGGAGGUGGAUGCAUGAGAAGAACUACUUGUCGGGCAGGACAGGCGUUUUAUAGAUGCACCGAGGCUUCUUGACUUGUCCGGUCUCAUUUAAUAGUCGUUGCUGCACCGUAUUGUUUACUACUACAAAGUGCCGGUUCAAAACUAAAACUGAACUAAUAGUCUGGUCUUGGUCCUAAAAAAGCAAUUGACCAGUUGCAUGAAGGAAGAAAAAUGCAAUUAACCUUGGUGUGACGCAAACUACUCAUGACUAGUCACAAACUAUAUAUUCAUUCAUGAGAAAUGUUUCUAUAGCUCAUGUAUCUGAAUAAUGGAUUCUCCACGUGGUUUGAGGUUUUGAAUAUCUUGUGAACUAAUUACCUGGUAGUUUUGAAUCUUGUACGAGGAAUGAUGGUGUGACUCAAACUCUUCUCUUAGUGGUGUCACGUGGGAGUUUUGUUGAGUUGGGAGAGAUAGAAAGGAGACCUGCUCCAGUGCUCCCCCCUAACCUAAUUUCGGAGGGGUAUUUUUGUCCCCGCGAAUUUGUUUUUUUCCUGGCCCGCCGCAACCCAGAUCCAAGCCCUGUCUAGCCCUGUAUAACCCAGACCGUAUACGUACAGUACCCUGGUCCGAAAAAGAACAUCACACGACCCCACGUCCACGUAAGACCUGCCGAAUCCAAUCAUUCACAAGAGCAGCUCCAUCAAUCUCGCGAGCAUUGACGCAGCUCCAUAAGUCACGUAGUAGAUCUCCAGCGGCGACUAUCUUGUCGCCGGCGAUCUCGUCGGACAGCGGGCGCGACAACGUCGUGAAUCUCCAACGAGCGCGCACAGGUACCGCAUCCCGCGUCCCCCCUCUAGUCUCGCUCGCGGCAACAUCGAACGAACUGCCGCCGCCAGUGGUAGUGGUUAACCUAGCGGGGCGGGUAAGCUAGCUACCCGGCAGCGCAUGCGAUCGUGGAUCUUGUUCCGGUAGUGCUGCUCCUCAUGAUUUGGGUUCACGUAGCGUCGGUUGCCGUCGGCUGUACGCACCACCGGUAUCGUUAUUUGAUGUGGCGGCUAACCUAGGUAUCUGGCGGCAGAGGUAAUCACAGAUGAAGCUAGGUUUUGAGAUCGUGCAGUUCCUCGCGAUUGAAAGUGAUCACGACGGGUGCCGUGGCCAUCUUCCUUACUAAGUUGGGCAGAUCUAAACGGCCUCGUUUGCGGUUGUUUACAUAACAUCCGUGAUCGUGUGCUAUGUCUUUUAUAUUUCAUCAUUGAUAAUGUUUGCACAUGUGAUGAUACAUAAUAUUGGUUGUAGGAAAUGGCGGACGAGGAGUUAACUGAUAUCAUGGUAGACAUGGAGUUUGGAGAACUGAUGAAAGACUGGAUAGAAGAUUGGUCAGAUGAUGAAAAUUCAGAUCGUGAAGAUCGGUCAGAGAAUGGGAACGAAUGGGACGAUCUUAAUGUGAGUGGCAUUGUCAUGUUGUAAUUUUUUGGUGGCAUCCGACAACAUUAAAUCUUUGUGUUGAAAAUUUACAGAUCGAUGAGCUUGAUGAUGAUCUGGAAAACAACUCGGAGCUCUCGAAUGAAGAUUACAUUAGUCAGGUACGUAAGUGAAAAAAUUUGUUGGCAUGCAAAUUGAAUUUCUUUUGGAAUAUUAUAUGAUAAGUAAUUGUGUAUUUGUGUUGUAUUUUUCAGUUCAUUUCCGAAUGUCAGAAUGCGUACGACUAUUACGGUGAAUCCGACGCGGAGACAGGCCUUAACGACGAAUCAUUAGAUGCACCUGGUUCUGGGGAGUCCGAGUCGUCGGUCAUCAUGAGUGAGGUAUGUGUGUAAUCAAUGUUCUAUGGAAGUAAGUAAUGUUAAACCUUAGAAAUCUGUUUUCAUGGCUGUGGUUUGAUUGUGUAGGUAACACAAGAUGAUGGGGCAAAGAAUGUCCAAGAUACUGCCAGUGCAGAUGAUAAGAGGGAUAUGUUCAUGCAGAUAAUGGAAAUGACCUUUACGUCUCACGAUGCUGCGUAUGAUUUCUACAACAGCUAUGCUAGAGAUAAUGGUUUCAGCAUUAGAAAGAAUAAGGUCAGGUAUAGCAAAACAGAGUCACGUCAUAUGCGUUAUAGGCGGUUUGUUUGUUCAAGACAAGGAAAACGUGACAGCAAGUUGCUAACCGAGGAAGGACACAGCCGUAGGCUCAGAGUCGAGACACGCUACUUUUGCGAAGCGCACCUGACUGUCAAGCUUGACCAAAAGCGUGGGGUUUGGUAUGUUGAAAGUUUUGAGGACAAGCAUAGCCAUAUGUUGGCAGGACCGGACGAGGUGCCUUUUCUUUGGUCCCACAGAAAAAUCAAAGAGUACCAGAAGCAUGAGAUAAUGUCCAUGGAAGCUGCAGGGAUUAGAAUUCACGACAUGAUGGAUUGCUUCAUCAACAAACAUCUAUGGUACGGCGUUGUUGGCUUUACCAGGCGUGAAAUAUACAAUCUUUGCGCCAAGGAGAAGAGGAAGCUGCUUUCAAAAGGUGAUGCUGCCACAGCCAUAGGCAUCAUGGCAAGUAGGAAACAGAGGAAUCCUAGCUUCUUUUUCGAGUACAGGCUAGCUAAGGAAGGAAAUUUGAAUAGGAUGUUCUGGUGCGACUCCCAGUCUCGUCAUGACUAUGAGGACUUCGGCGAUGUGCUUGUAUUUGACAGGACGUACAAGAUGAACCGCUAUGGUAUGCCAUUCAUACCUUUUGUUGGUCUUAACAAUCACCGGAAGACCACUGUUUUCGGUUGUGCCAUAUUUUUGGACGAGACCGAGCAGACAUACGUGUGGCUUCUGCAGACUUUUUUGAGGCCCAUGUGUCAAAAGAUGCAUAAGAGUGUUAUCACAGACGCCGAUGCUGCGAUGAUCAAGGCUAUUUGCGAAGUCUUGCCAGACGUUUGGCACCGUAUAUGUACGUGGCACAUAGAGAAAAAUAUGAAGAUUCACCUCAGUCACAAGUCCUUGAAGGAGUUGCAAACUCUUCUGUACUACAACACGUCCACAGCAACGUUUGAGUACAGAUGUCACGCAUUUUCCAAAAGAUGGCAGUCGGAAAAAAACUGUAACAUGGUUGAGGCGGAUGCAUAAGAAGAGGAGACUGUGGGCCGCGGCAUAUCUAACUGAGGGGUUUUGGCUGGGCAUGAAAAGCAAACAACAAAGUGAAAGCCUGAACUCAUGCCUUCACCUCCACCUAGACGGUGAAAUGACCCUGGUGGAUAUGAUUUUGCACUAUGAGAACGCAGUUGUGCGUAUCCGUGAAAACGAGGCGCGAGAUGACUACACGGCCUCACAGAGUUUACCGGUGCCAGUUACUAGCUCGAGGGAACUUGAGAUAGCUGCUUCUCACGUCUUCACUCUAGCAAACUUCUAUAUGUUGCAAGAUGAUCUUAGAAAAAUUGACGGCAUGGAGAUUGUAGAAAUUAAGCUGGGAGACGGAUCAUAGCAGUACAUCAUGGCCUGGAAGAAUAACCGGAACCGCCGUUUUUCGGUGGAGUAUACACCAGUAAAUUCCGCAGAAACUAUAAGGUGCAGCUGCAGAAGAAUGAUUCGAAAGGGUCUACCUUGCAAGCACAUAUUCCAUGUACUGAAUCACUUGAACAUAUCUGAAAUACCAAAGUGUUUAGUUCUUAUUCGGUUCACGAAAGAAGCAAGGUUGGGACUGCCCGCAAGGCGCACAAGCGAUCUGUUUGAACCUUUUCCCAAACCAGUAGAACAUAGAACAGAAACCUAGGCUACACAAGCUAAAUGGGCUGGCGCACUCCAUCCUAGUGCGAAAGAGCAUCUAUUUGACGUAGCAUCUGUCAAAUAGAAGGCCCAUGAAAUUCAAGAAAGGUCCAUAUGUAGCGCGUGAGGUGCCAACAAGAGCCCCGCCAUUGUUCUAGAUGGACCAGCCCAUCUGGUAGUUUUGCCUUUCCUCGCCAAACACGAGCUCCCAGAAGCUUCUGUUCCUUCUUGUUUUUAUGAUUUUUCCAGUCUAUUAAAUGGAUUUUGUUCCUCUUUCAUUUAUUUUCAUUUUAUUUUGAAUCUUUACCUACCUUUUCAAAUCUUGUGUUUUCUUAAUUAAAAAUUAAUUUUUAAAAUUAAAGAACCUUAGAAAAUACAUAAAUAUUAUUUUGAAAUUUCUAAUUUUUUAAAAAUUAGCAAACAUUUUUCAAAUUCAUGAAGAGGUCUUUAUAAAAUUCAGUUUUUGAAACAUUUCUUAUAGUUUUAUUAUUUACUAGAAAUUUCUAAGUCCAUUAAUAAUUUUUUAUUUUAGCAAAAAAUUGAAGUUAAUUAAAAAAGUGCCAUGUUUUUUCCGUAAGAAAUUAGAGCAGCAAAAAGUAACAACAUGAACAAGCAACUGAUAACACUCCUCCUCAUUGUCCCUGGCCACUUGCAAAGGUAUAUCGUGCACAGAGGAGCACCUACAGAGAAAAGGCUUAUCAAUCAUGGCAGUACAACGAACACCAGAAAUAAAAAUUAUGUCUAGAUACAUAGACCACCUAGCAACGACUACAAACACUAAAGUGAGCCGAAGGUGCGCCACCGUCAUAGCCCCUCCAUCGCCGGAAUCAGGCACAACUUGUUGUAAUAGACAGUCGGGAAGUCGUCGUGCUAANNNNNNNNNNNCCCAUAAAAUAAAAAUCUACGGAAAAAGAAGUCAUAGAUGAAUAUGGAUAUUAGAACAUUGUUUACAAAACAAGCAUCACUUGAACUUGUACACACAUAUAUACACAUGACCACAUUACUCACACACCCACGCUGAUGGUGAGAUAUUUUCACAUAUAUGCUAUUAGUUCUUGAUUUUUUAGCACAUAUUUGCCAUAUACAGAGUAUUAAUUACCAGCGUAUAACAAUGACACACCAACACACAGUUUGAUUACAAACUCGUUAGUUUACGUGCAUGCGUGCUAAUUAACUAUUGACCUUCUCCUAUAAGUAACCGUCACUUUUCCCCUGGGUCCUGGUAAUAUUUUGUCAUUCUCUAGCUCGGGGAAAGGAGAGAUCAACUCAAGCUCAAAGUUCCUCAGCAAAUAGCUCCAUAUGACCUUGAUUUGCAUGAAAGCAUAAUCCUGUCCCAAGCAAGAAUACCUCCCAGCACCAAAAGAUAUGUCCGAAAACUUGCCGCCGGUUUUGUCCUCUUCUCUCCCCGGGCCAAACCGGCAUGGGUCAUACAUAUUAGGGAUCUUAUAAAUGUAAGGUAACUUGUUGCUGACCGCUAUGGAGCAUGCUAAAGCAUGCCCUUUUGGAAUCUCAUAUUCCAUGCCAUCUCUGGUUUGCACCGCGAAUCUCUUGUGUGCAUGACGAAGUAGUAAUGGCGUCGGAGAAUAAAGCCUCAGUGCCUCUUUGAUACAGCAACGCAAGGUAUCCAUCUUUGACAAGAUGGUGUAGUCUAUGGGUUCUCCAUUUUGCUCAAUGAUUUUCUUCUGCUCUUCCAUGGCAGCUGUCAUGUACUUUUGAUUGCUUAGCAGUCAAGCUCCUGUCCAGGUGCUGGUACUUGAGCUCGUGUGCUGCCCGGCGAACAAGAUGGCAAUGAGUAGCCCGACGAUCUCGCUCUCUGUCAUGGAUCGGCCAUCACUGUAUUUUGAGUCUAUGAAGCUCUGCAACACAUCGCCUUCGUCGUCAUCAUUGCUGUCCAUGACUCGGACUGGGCUAAUUCUUCUACGUGAUCUGACUAUCUCGUGGAGUAUCUCUCCCAGCCUUGCAUGCGCCGUCGCGUCGGUGGUGCGGCGGAAUUGGGAGGUGCGGGAAGAAUAAGUUGAUCAUGUGGAAGCUGUUUUCAAAUAGUUCAUGGAGGAGUCUCGACACUUCUUCCAAGUUGUUGCCUUUGAUCUCAUUGCCAAGCAAGCAUCUGUUUGCGAUCAACACGAUUAGGUGGCCAAGCUCAUGCUUUAAAUCAACCGUACCACUUUGUCUCCAUUUCGCAAAGUAGUCCUACAUACAAAAGUUCCCAUAUCAAGCAUUAUUCUAAAUAAAAUAAAAGAUUUAUAAAUCAAACAACUAAUAAUCAUAAGGCGGAGUAAUUAAAUGGUGCAUAUCAAUCAAAAUAGAGGAACUUGCGUUCCUAAUCAGGUUGCGUACAUCUCCUGAGGCAGAGGCCGGGAAAGAUAUAUCUUUAUUAUCUAAAAGUAAAAUUACCUCCACUAUGCAAACCAUGGAAUGAACAUCUCUUCGAAACCUCGCCGGCUGUAUCGCCUUGGUACAAAAUCGGAUCUGCUCAUUCCUGGUAGCCAUGUCCACGCCAAACAGAACUCCUGGACCGAGGACGGGCACAAUGAUCUUAGCUGUAUCCCCGAAAUCGAUCUCGGAUGGUGAUCCCUUGAAGAAAUGAGGAGUGACCUCUGGCCCAAAGAAAAAUGUCACCUUCAAAAAUUGGUCACAUGUACGUGAGUUUGUAACUCAGAGAAUACUCUUAAAUUUAAGAUUUGUUCCAUCUGCAAAAUAAUGUUAAUUAAGGUCACCUUCUUUAGCCCGAAAAGGUUCACUGUGAACACACUUCCCAUCUUCAUGUGUAGUUCAUGGAUUGCAGCAUGUAAACCCUUCUUGGGCGUCACAAGUGUGAGCAGGGCUGCCAUUAGAGGAGCUCCACUCACAACUUGUGGCGGGCGCAGAGUAAUUGGUGAUCUUUUUCCUUUGCGUGUAAGACGAAUGGUUCUGAUUCUUGCAAUGAUCUUGGAGAUGAUUGUGGUGAGAAACAAAAAUGCUAUGGUAAAGCAUGCUGCCGUGUGUAUUGUGAUCCCAUCCAUGUCCAUAUGCAUAUGCAGCGCUCAACUUUAUGAAAACCUGGCUAAUGAAAAUGAGUAAAUUGAUUGAGCUGAGGAUGAAGGAAAACAUAUGUAGAAUGGAAGUUUUUUAGAAGUUAC
RNAcentral lists this long non-coding RNA (7807 nucleotides) under Triticum aestivum (bread wheat). Its description in RNAcentral is "long non-coding RNA (TAES_LNC019959)". Lineage: Eukaryota; Viridiplantae; Streptophyta; Magnoliopsida; Poales; Poaceae. The record is from RNAcentral.